Non-coding RNA from Acanthosepion pharaonis, 97 nucleotides. NCBI's taxonomy places the organism in Eukaryota, Metazoa, Mollusca, Cephalopoda, Sepiida, Sepiidae. The record is from the annotation of a GenBank genome assembly.
UGUAACACCGGUUCUCGUACGAUCACAGAAGUUAAGCAAUGUUAAGCCUGCUCAUUACCUAGAUGGGUGACCGCUUAGGAAUACCUGGUGCUGUAAU